RNAcentral lists this transfer RNA (71 nucleotides) under Mustilia falcipennis. RNAcentral's name for it is "tRNA-Cys". Lineage: Eukaryota; Metazoa; Arthropoda; Insecta; Lepidoptera; Endromidae. The record is from RNAcentral.
GGUCUUAUAGUCAAAUUAAUAUGAUAUAAAAUUGCAAAUUUUAAGGUGAAUAUAUUUAUAUAUUAAGACUU